CCAUAGUUGGUGGGUUACUUCAGCCGUGAAUUGCGUACCCCUAUCUGAUAUGAUCUCCUGGGGGAACCCUACCCGUGAGAAGACUUUCAUUAAUGCCUCGGCCACCGUCUCGGCGUGGAUAUUGGAGAGGGCCACUGCUUCGGGAUACCGGGUGGCGUAGUCUACUAUGGUCAAGAUAUAUCUCUUGCCGGAGGGACUGGGUUUUGGUAAG
Pelobates cultripes (western spadefoot toad) is the source of this 211-nucleotide non-coding RNA. NCBI's taxonomy places the organism in Eukaryota, Metazoa, Chordata, Amphibia, Anura, Pelobatidae. The record is from the annotation of a GenBank genome assembly.